Molecule: small nuclear RNA, 108 nt
Filed under: Propithecus coquereli (Coquerel's sifaka)
Lineage: Eukaryota; Metazoa; Chordata; Mammalia; Primates; Indriidae
Source: RNAcentral
ACUGUGCUCACUUUGGCAGUAUGUACUAACAUCGGAACCACACAGAAAAGAUUACUAUGGCCCCUGCACAAGGAUGAUACACAAAUUCAUGAAGCGUUUCAUAUUUGA